UGAACUACUGUAGACUCAUAUUUUACUUAUUGAUAGAUAUAAAAUUUACGUAGCAUUUAGAUUUCAUACAAUAUUUAGAUUCAUAUGAUACUCUAAUAAGGUGACGAUUUUACUUUAGCGUGUUGUGAAUAAAGAUGUUUUGUUGAUUUAAUUCUUAUGAAAUUAGUUGACUGUUGAUUGAUACUGUGGAUUGAGAUUGGUUGGAUUUGUGAAAAUCAUAAAGGUAAAUAUAUGUCCAAUUUAAGGGAAGGUUAUGUCCAAUUUUUUCGGGGAGUUUUGUUGACCGAUUCGUGUAGUAUAUAUGCUGAUUAGUAUUAAUAAUAUAUUCUCUUUAUAGGUAUGAUGAGCGUAGCAGAGGUAGAUCGAGUGGGUCUCAUGGUCGUGGUAGAGCGAAGGUUUCCACCGAAUCUCAAGGACUGUUCAGUCAUCGCCCUCUACCCCCGACUACCCCAUCGACCCUUGUGACGUCACAGGUGGGUCCAGCGGACCAGCAGUUCAUCAUGGUCCUAAACUCGAACUAUGUGCCUCCUUCUACAACACCCCUCUGCCGAUCCAGUGAUAGAUACCGCAGUGGGUGAUUCCUCCAGUGCCCCCAAGCAAGAUGCCCCACCACCACCGCCUGUCAUUCGGCUGAGGAUUUGGCCCGAUGGCAUGCAGGCGUUUACACUAAACAACAAUGCUUGCACAUAGGAGAUCUCUGAAGUUAUUAAGUCAAUGUACGACCACCUGUGGCCCAGGUAUACACAGAUCCUGGAUAAGACCAGAGAGCGAUGGUUUCAGAAGUGGGUGGUAAAAACCCAAUAAUGUUGAAUUAAUUAACUAUAUUUGAACUGUAUUUUAUCCUGACUAACUAAUGUUGUUGAAUCAAUUUGUGCCGCUAAAUCAAUUUGUGCCGUUGAAAUUCAUAUGGGAUGCGAAACAUAAUCUCAUGAUCAGAAAGAUCUAUGACCACCAAGCAGUUAAACAGAUUCAGUAGAUGAUGAGCGUCGUUCGUCAGAGGCGUAACCACCUAAUGACCUAAAUCCAUCCAGCCAUCAAGAAGGAAUUGGAGGCCUAUUUUAGAGAUGAUGAGGGUUUCAAGCAUCGCCGUCUAACAAACGUCGCUAACAGGGCUUCUCCCAGGUCGUCGAAGUAUACGGAUGGAUCGAUGACCUUCAUAAAGAUGAAGAGCAGACUGUCUAAGUCGUUGGAUUGUGAGGCGACACUGGCGGAGACCUUCAAGUAUACACAUACUUUGAAGGCCAACAAGGAUAUUGAUGCGCAGUCUACGCCUAUUAUGAGGAUUACAGGCAGAGGUUGGAGGCUGCAACCCAGCAGUCUCAGCCGCCUAUGCAAAUGACGAAGCUGGCUCCGAGACCUCAGUGGUAGAUUUUGAUAAGGUUUGGCGCGAGACCACCUCUGAAUCCCACAAGAAUCGCUGCUUCAGGUUGGAGUUGUUCUUCGCAAGUGGUCUCUGCUCCUCCGUAUUGGUGAUUUUUUCUGCCUCUGCAUCUGUCUCUGCCUCUGCCACCAGCCCUGUCAUUCCCCAGGAAGUUAUCGACUUGAGGGAGGAGGUGCAGAAGCUAUCACAUAAGCUUUAUUAACAAGCGGAGCAGUCUGAGCAGAAGUACAAUGACCAUCUUGUACGCGUGGGAGGAGUCGUUUCCAUCAGCUCGAAACUAACGGAGAAGCUGGAGCAGCUAAAUUGUUUGCGAGAGCAGUUGGAAAUGUACAACCAGCAGCGGCACACUGGAGGCAGCGGAGCUACUGGUUUCUGCGGCAAUGCUACUGAUGGGCACCGACGUCAGCACCUACUCCGCCGCCUCCACAGGGGGACCUCGACGACGGUGAUGGUUACCGGGAUCUGUAGGGUUUAGGGAUUUUUUUUUUUGUUUGUCUACUUCAUUGUAUUCUACUUCUGUGAUAUUUUAUUA
Non-coding RNA from Arachis ipaensis, 1913 nucleotides. NCBI's taxonomy places the organism in Eukaryota, Viridiplantae, Streptophyta, Magnoliopsida, Fabales, Fabaceae. The record is from RefSeq and is a predicted model, not a curated record.